This 73-nucleotide transfer RNA is filed under the name Phlebopus portentosus. RNAcentral describes it as "tRNA-Arg (TCT) (tRNA-Arg-TCT-1-1)". It matches the Rfam family "tRNA". Rfam says of the family: Transfer RNA (tRNA) molecules are approximately 80 nucleotides in length. Lineage: Eukaryota; Fungi; Basidiomycota; Agaricomycetes; Boletales; Boletinellaceae. The record is from RNAcentral.
GCCCUCGUUGUCUAAUGGUUAUGACGUCAGACUUCUAAUCUGGAGGUUGUGGGUUCGAGUCCCACCGGGGGCU